ACGGGUGAGUAAUGCCUAGGAAUCUGCCUGGUAGUGGGGGACAACGUUUCGAAAGGAACGCUAAUACCGCAUACGUCCUACGGGAGAAAGCAGGGGACCUUCGGGCCUUGCGCUAUCAGAUGAGCCUAGGUCGGAUUAGCUAGUUGGUGAGGUAAUGGCUCACCAAGGCGACGAUCCGUAACUGGUCUGAGAGGAUGAUCAGUCACACUGGAACUGAGACACGGUCCAGACUCCUACGGGAGGCAGCAGUGGGGAAUAUUGGACAAUGGGCGAAAGCCUGAUCCAGCCAUGCCGCGUGUGUGAAGAAGGUCUUCGGAUUGUAAAGCACUUUAAGUUGGGAGGAAGGGUUGUAGAUUAAUACUCUGCAAUUUUGACGUUACCGACAGAAUAAGCACCGGCUAACUCUGUGCCAGCAGCCGCGGUAAUACAGAGGGUGCAAGCGUUAAUCGGAAUUACUGGGCGUAAAGCGCGCGUAGGUGGUUCGUUAAGUUGGAUGUGAAAUCCCCGGGCUCAACCUGGGAACUGCAUCCAAAACUGGCGAGCUAGAGUAUGGUAGAGGGUGGUGGAAUUUCCUGUGUAGCGG
Molecule: ribosomal RNA, 583 nt
Filed under: Pseudomonas sp. StFRB106
Lineage: Bacteria; Pseudomonadati; Pseudomonadota; Gammaproteobacteria; Pseudomonadales; Pseudomonadaceae
Description: bacterial SSU rRNA
Rfam family: Bacterial small subunit ribosomal RNA
Source: RNAcentral